UACAGAGGAGCCAAGCGUUGUCCGGAUUGACUGGGCGUAAAGCGCACGCAGGCGGAUGCGCGCGUGGGGUGUGAAAUCUGGCCGCUUAACGGCCAGGCGCCAUCCCAUACGGCGCGUCUGGAGUGAUGCAGAGGUCGGUGGAAUUGCCGGUGUAGUGGUGAAAUGCGUAGAGAUCGGCAGGAACACCCAGGGGGAAACCAGCCGACUGGGCAUCUACUGACGCUGAGGUGCGAGAGCGUGGGGAGCGAACCGGG
Molecule: ribosomal RNA, 254 nt
Filed under: uncultured bacterium
Lineage: Bacteria
Description: partial 16S ribosomal RNA
Rfam family: Bacterial small subunit ribosomal RNA
Source: RNAcentral